This 262-nucleotide unclassified non-coding RNA is filed under the name Hevea brasiliensis (rubber tree). Lineage: Eukaryota; Viridiplantae; Streptophyta; Magnoliopsida; Malpighiales; Euphorbiaceae. The record is from RNAcentral.
CGCGCACCAGAUCGGAAAAGACGCCAUAGAUACUGUCGUCAGCAGCGUGGAUCUGCUGGAAAUUAUCUCGUGACAGCAGCAGCGCCUUGCCUGCCUCCGGAAUGUCGAGGUCGGCCGAUGCGAUCCAUUGAUCGGCGCGCAAAUCGCCAAGGUUGAAAUGCAGCCAGAGCAACCCGUCACCGCGCAGGUCGACCGGCUCAUCUACGUUCAGCGGUUCGGCACUUCCAUUGGCAUGAAUCCGGAACGCCCAUACCAGACCCGG